RNAcentral lists this non-coding RNA (89 nucleotides) under Rhodococcus ruber. RNAcentral's name for it is "TPP". It matches the Rfam family "TPP riboswitch aptamer (THI element)". Rfam says of the family: Vitamin B(1) in its active form thiamin pyrophosphate (TPP) is an essential coenzyme that is synthesised by coupling of pyrimidine and thiazole moieties in bacteria. The previously detected thiamin-regulatory element, thi box was extended, resulting in a new, highly conserved RNA secondary structure, the THI element, which is widely distributed in eubacteria and also occurs in some archaea. Lineage: Bacteria; Bacillati; Actinomycetota; Actinomycetes; Mycobacteriales; Nocardiaceae. The record is from RNAcentral.
UCCGUAGACACGGGGUGCUCCGCACAUGCGCGGGGCUGAGAUCACACCCGUCGAACCUGAUCAGGUAAUGCUGACGAAGGGAUGUCCUG